Gossypium raimondii (Peruvian cotton) is the source of this 1694-nucleotide long non-coding RNA. RefSeq lists it as uncharacterized. The record is from RefSeq and is a predicted model, not a curated record. The transcript is spliced from 7 exons. Lineage: Eukaryota; Viridiplantae; Streptophyta; Magnoliopsida; Malvales; Malvaceae.
CUAAAUUUACCUUAAAAAACGUGUCCUACACAAAGUUCAGUUUAUUUUUUUAUUCCAAAAAAACGUUUUUUUAUAAAAACGCCACAAAAACAUUUUACUUUCAAAAAAAUUGCACCUUUUUUUCUCUAAAUUUCCCCCCUAAAACCCCUAAUUUUUCCCCCUAAAAUUUGUAUCCUCAAAACACCCUUUAGGGGUUUCUCUCCGCCACCACGUCUUCAUCAUCAUCGUUCCCUACUUUUGCUACUUUAAGCUCCUCUUCUUCUCAACCACCGUCUUUGUUUUUCUCUUGUUUAUCCGGUCGGUGUAUUUUUUAGGAAAAUCCAAAUUUUCCCGAAAGAUUUCCCGACCGACGAUUAUUCCAUCUUUAUCUUUUCGUCAAAAUCUCGAAAAUCGAAACAAUUCCGGUGUUUCUGUUUUUGAAGCUAAAGAGUGAUCUUCUUUUCCUUCUCCGGAUCGCUUGAUUUUGCCGCUAAACCUCUUCUGAUUUUGCAGCUAGGUACACUGUGAGAUCUUUUGGAAUCAGGCGUAAUGAGAAGAUUGCUUGCUACGUGACUCUGAAUAUUUCAAGUACAAAAGAUGAAAAACAAAGAAGAAUCGUUUCAAGAAAAUUGCAGUCACAGUUCGCUUUCCUUUAUUUUCUUCUUGGAAAACCGUUUUGUUAACCUUUAUUAACUUGAAAUUAGGGUAAUUAUUUAGUUAUUAUCUAUUGUAGAGGCCUUGUCGUCGUUUCAUUUUCCCGGAGCCCGUCGUUUUAUUUGGAUUUGCUGAAAAACAAAGGACCUGACGUUGCUUCAUCGGAUAAACGGUAUCUACAGCUGUAUUGUGUUUCAGUAGCUUCCUCACAAGAUUAUCAUUUUUCUUAAAGGUACUAAUAUAAUGACCUUGAAUCCGACAUCUCCUCUUCAUCACUGAACGUGCAGACAUUUGGUCAUCAUUGCCUAAGCUUACAUCAAAGUGAAUGGAGCUCAACAGGGACAUUCUUUAUAUUGUCAGCCUUUUGCCGUGCAAAUUUCAUCCUAUUCGCAAUAAUGGUGUCCGAGACUAAAGGACGAACACUGGAGGAAAUACAAGCAUCAGUUAGUCAUUCUUCCGUUUGAAAUACCAUCAGCAAUUUGCUUUAAAAUUUGAUCUGUCUUGCUGGGUUUUUGUGCUGUGUCUUUGCAGAGUAUUGGGUAGUCCUUUCAAUCCUCAGCCAUGGCGGAACAGAUGGAGAAAGCAUUUCUCAAACACCCCAAGGUGUUUUUAAGACUUAGAAAUAAAGUAAUCACAUUCACUAUUUUUCAAGCCUUUCAAGCCACUUGCGUCUUACUCCUCUAUGUUGAAUCAAAUUGAGGAAUUGCUAAGUGCUAGAGACUAUAAAGCUGCCAUGCAGCUAUCAGAAAAUCUAAGAAGCUUGGCACUGAAGGAAGGGACUUCAUUAUUUUCGAACUUUUUGAGGAUUCACUUCGGCUUUCUCUUCUAUUUUUGCUUCUUUGAUUCAGCUAAUAGAGCAUGCAGGAACUAAAUUUGCAGUUCAAAUUUGAAGCCUUGCUCAAAAGUUUUUCUCUAAGGCUCAUUGCUUUGAGUUCAUUACAAGAUUUCCUUGAUUAAGUAAAUGUAUUAUAUCUUUUAUUACCAAGAUUUACUUGAUUAAGAAAAUGCAUUGUAUAUUUUAUUACCUUGCAUAUGUAUUAUUUAUUUUGGUUUUGAUUCUA